GAUGAACGCUGGCGGCGUGCCUAAUACAUGCAAGUCGAGCGAACAGACGAGGAGCUUGCUCCUCUGACGUUAGCGGCGGACGGGUGAGUAACACGUGGAUAACCUACCUAUAAGACUGGGAUAACUUCGGGAAACCGGAGCUAAUACCGGAGAAUAUAUUGAACCGCAUGGUUCAAUAGUGAAAGACGGUUUUGCUGUAACUUAUCGAUGGAUCUGCGCCGCUUUAGCUAGUUGCUAAGGUAACGGCUUACCAAGGCAACGAUGCGUAGCCGACCUGAGAGGGUGAUCGGCCACAUUAGAACUGGGCCACGGUCCAGGCUCCUGCGGGAGGCAGCAGACGGGAAUGGUACGCAAUGGGGGGAAGCCUUACGGAGCAACGCCGCGUGAGUGAUGAAGGUCUUCGGAUCGUGAAGCUCGCUUAUUAGGGAAGAACAAAUGUGUAAGUAACUAUGCACGUCUUGACGGUACCUAAUCAGAAAGCCACGGCUAACUACGUG
This 497-nucleotide ribosomal RNA is filed under the name uncultured bacterium. RNAcentral's name for it is "partial 16S ribosomal RNA". It matches the Rfam family "Bacterial small subunit ribosomal RNA", at positions 28 to 507 of the family's 1533-position model. The record is from RNAcentral.